CUUCAACUCAACAAACGAUCUAGGAUCCUACAACAUGCCAGCAAGUCAUAGAAACGACGAGAAGGGACCCCAACUGCCUGCCCCCUCACGGCCACUUCCUUCGCCAGACGUAAAGUCCAAGAGGGCAAUUAGCCAUAAAAUCUACCUCGUAGUGAGCACAAAUGGCAGGGGGCUUGGAGGGAAAUGAGAAGCAAGCUCUGGACUCCCACUGACUUCAAAUGGGAAAGCCCAGUAGGAACAAGAGGGAAGAAGAUAAUCUGCAAGACUAAACUUCUUUGCCUAAAAUGUGCUCUGCUUUUAAAAGGAUGUACAUGUCACCUUACAUUUACUAACUGGAAAUCUUCAUUAUAUGUUUAAAAAGAUAAGUCAAAAGGUAAUUCACAAAUAAAUAAUCUUAUUUUUCAA
Molecule: long non-coding RNA, 405 nt
Organism: Canis lupus familiaris (dog)
Lineage: Eukaryota; Metazoa; Chordata; Mammalia; Carnivora; Canidae
Exons: 3
Source: RefSeq, a predicted model, not a curated record